ACGGAAGGCAGCAGUGAGGAAUAUUGGUCAAUGGGCGAGAGCCUGAACCAGCCAAGUAGCGUGUAGGAAGACUGCCCUAUGGGUUGUAAACUACUUUUGUUCGGGAACAAAGAGGGGCUCGCGAGCCCCGUUGCGUGUACCGUUCGAAUAAGCAUCGGCUAAUUCCGUGCCAGCAGCCGCGGUAAUACGGAAGAUGCGAGCGUUAUCCGGAUUUAUUGGGUUUAAAGGGAGCGUAGGCGGACUUGUAAGUCAGCUGUGAAAGUCUGCGGCUCAACCGUAGAAUUGCAGUUGAUACUGCUGGUCUUGAGUAUGCAUAAGGAUGGUGGAAUUUGUGGUGUAGCGGUGAAAUGCUUAGAUAUCACGAAGAACUCCGAUUGCGAAGGCAGCCAUCUGGGGCAUCACUGACGCUGAGGCUCGAAAGUGCGGGUAUCAAACAGGAUUAGAUACCCUGGUA
Molecule: ribosomal RNA, 454 nt
Filed under: uncultured Prevotellaceae bacterium
Lineage: Bacteria; Pseudomonadati; Bacteroidota; Bacteroidia; Bacteroidales; Prevotellaceae
Description: bacterial SSU rRNA
Rfam family: Bacterial small subunit ribosomal RNA
Source: RNAcentral